CUGCUUUGCCAGUACAUAUGCUAGUAUUACAACACAGACUGAUCAGCGUGGCCCCUGCACAAGGAUGAUGCACAAAUUCAUGAAGUGUCCCAUAUUUUC
This 99-nucleotide small nuclear RNA is filed under the name Nannospalax galili (Upper Galilee mountains blind mole rat). The record is from RNAcentral. Lineage: Eukaryota; Metazoa; Chordata; Mammalia; Rodentia; Spalacidae.